Molecule: long non-coding RNA, 3312 nt
Filed under: Homo sapiens (human)
Lineage: Eukaryota; Metazoa; Chordata; Mammalia; Primates; Hominidae
Description: HSALNT0345907
Source: RNAcentral
CAAUGAUAGGAAUUAAUAACGUUGUUUUCAGGAUUAAAUGAAAUAACACAUGGAGAAAGAGCUUGCCCGGGGCUGGGCUCCUAGGAACUGCCGGGUUCUUUUGUCAUCUCUUCCUUUUUCUUCUCAAUGACAAAGCAAAUAUGACACAUCCUUGAGUUCCUGUGCCAUCUUCUCAUCCUCUUUUCUGUUUGUCUCCUUCGCUUUGAAAUCCUGUUCAAGUCUCAUCUCCUGAUGCUCAAGCAUCAUGGCAUCAUUUCCAGUGGAGUCGCUGAACUUGUAGGUUGUCUACCUGACACCUCGAGGUCCUUACACCAAGAAGUCAGCUGUGAAGCCCGCUGAGUCCUCGGGUGGAUGUCUGCCACCACAUACAUAGCCUUUGCUGGUGGCUUGGAGAGCUGGCAGGUCAGCCACAGAAAGUGGGCAAGACCUAGUCAGUAGCGACAGGAUAUGUUCCCAGGAUGGACAGCUGCCUGAUAUGCGUUCAGUUCCAGUGCCAAAGCCAAGGGCUGCCAGUGCCCUUCCUUCAUGCUAAGGACUUCUCUCUCUCCAGGACAGCGGAUGCCUGUUUGGAAGGCUGGAUUGGACUGAGCCACAUGGCAGAGCCUUGGAGAUGGCAGGGGAGGGAAGUCGAAGACAUGGGCAAGUCUCAGUUCUCAACAGUGGCUGUGUGCCAGGCACUGAACGAGGCAUUUUGCAUGCAACAUUUCACUUUAUCUGCACAACAGCCCCCUGCUGAGGAACUAUGGCCCCACUUUAAUGAUGAGGAAAUUGAGGCUCAGAGAGGGGAAGUCACCUGCUUGAGGCCACACAGCUAGUAAAUGGUAGAACGAAAGUUAAAGGUUACCUUGAAGCCUCUGCUGUUCCCAUCGUCCCACAGCCAGCCAACUCCUGAGCUCAGGAGGACGUUGGAAUAAGCCAGGCCCUCUGAGAUCCCUGACUCUGAAGUCUUUAGGGAAAGAUUCAGGUCAUGAUCAUCAAAACGCCUUACUUUUGUGGAGCAUGGGAACGUUUACAGGAUGAAUUUACAUCUAGCAUUUCAUUUGCCUCUCACAGUAGCUUAGUGAAUUAUUAGCUCCAUAUCACCAAUGAGAAACUGAGGCAUGAAGAGACGGAGAGAGUUUCAGGGCACUGUCUCCUAAUCUGGAGCUCUUUUCACUGGGUUUCAGAGAGAACAGAGCACUUUUAUUAAGCAUUUCAAAACAAGUUUAAUAUAGUAUUCUGUUAAAUACUAAGUCCUAGGCUGAAAGCUCCUAAAUUGGAAACUGUAUAUGAUUUAUCUGUUUGUGCCCCACACCUAUCAGUGUGGGGCUUAUUGCAGAUAAUCAAUUUCCAUGGAAAGAAUCAUGCCUAUAGGUAAUUGCGAUUCAUCUGUCUAGAAAGUCAUGAGCCUGCUGCCUUGGCUUCAGGGCCAUUUCUUCAUAGUAUUUUUCAAUGUGUCUGUCAUUUUUAGCACAGCAAUUGGUAACUGGAACAGUGGCUUAAAAAUGUUUUAGUGGUGGAACUCUCUUUCUCAAAGAAAAUCUUAGGCAGAAUCUCAACAUGGUAAAUAGUUUUUUAGCAAAGGCUAAAAAAUACCAGGCAAUUUAUAGCAUUUGAUGUAAAAGAGUUCAGAAGGAAACCUUUGCAACCUGUCUAUAUUUGCUUAGGUUUCCAAUGGGGCACAUUCUGAAGAUCACUAAGCAGAAUCAUUACAUUGACCAGAGUACUGUUCAUUCCCUAACCUUGUCAAACAUUACGGUGCUAUGUAGGGAGAAGGGAUGAGGACAAGAGCAGGCAAGGGGAGAAUGGUGGGUGCUCUCCUGCUGCAUGUCUGAGUCAUAUGCAUCGUGGAUGGGAAGAGUUGAGGAGAGCUGGGUGAGAACUCAGGGCUGAGUUGCAAGUGGCCUGUAUGUCGGAUAACAGUCUUAGGUGCAAGCAGUAGAAUCUACUCUAGCUGGUUUAAGUGCUGAGAGAUUUAUUAAAAGGUGUGUAUAGCUCAUAGAAUCACUGAGAGGGCUGGAAACCAUGCUUUAGUCUAGGCGGAACUUUCAGGAACAACUCCCAAAACCCACACUGCAGAACUGCACUGCCAAGGGAGCUGCUUCCUCAGCACGAAGAGGCAGUGGUUGGUUCCAGAAUCUCAUUGCCUUUGGUGUGAUUUGGAGUCACCAGAUCAGGGCAAGAAGUCAGAAAGCCAUCACUGUAGCUACUGGCUCCAGAAGCACACCUCUCUACCCUGAUCCACAUCAGAAAAAGGAAGCCUUGCACUCUGUCUUUCUUCUCACAUAAGUCAACUCACAAUUGAAGACCAAUACAAGUACAAUAGAAUGGUAGAUCCCAAGCUAUAUACAGAGUCAUCAUUACUAGGUAGUCUGAGAAAUUUAGCAUUCACAGGACCAGAGAGGGUUGGAAUGGAUAUUGAGCAAGCUAAUCCCCGGUAAUGUGACAGUCUGCCAUUUUGGUAUUCAACAUUCAUAUACAUCUUUCCUUAUACUUAAAUUUCCAAACAAUAACUGAUGUUUCUGCCUGUACUAGUCAGGAUCCUCCAGAGAAACAGAAACAAUAAUAUAUACUGAUUAUAGGGAAUUGGCUGAUGGGUUUAUGGAGGCUGAAAAUUGCAAGAUCUGCAGCCUGCAAUGGUUUGGUUCCAAUCUAAAUGCUGGCGGUCUUAAGAUCUAGAAAGAGCUGAAGCUUCAGUUUCAGUCUAAAGGCAGGAAAAAACAUCAAUGUCCCAGUUCAAAGGCAAUCAGGCAGGAGGAAUUCCCUCUUGCUUAUGGGUGGUCAGCCUUUUUGUUCUAUUCAGGCCUUUAAUGGACUGGAUGACCCACUCACAGUAGGAAGGGCCAUCUCUGCUAUACCCAGUCUACUAAAUUCAAAUGUUAAUCUCAUCCAGAAACACCCUUACGAACACACUCAGAAUAACGUUCAACCAAAUGUCUGGGUCUAGUCAAGUUGCUGCAUAAAAUGGCCCAGUCAAGUUGACACAAAAUUAACCAUCACAUUGCCUAACUUAAGAUAUAGUUUAAAGCUUGUGACAUUGGUGAUAUUUGACUUUUUGACCUAAAAUGUCAAAUUCAUCAGGCUUAAUAAUAACUAUUAAUAACUGUAAUACACAUAUUUAUCCUUUCCAAAGGUCUUAUUGGUGAGAACAUCCAUCUCUGAGUAAUAGUUAUGCCUCCUGUAGUUCAUUUACAAUCCGAUUUUAUAGUCCUCUAACCUAGGGAAUAAAUUAGAAAGAUAGCCAUCACAAUCACAGCAGUAAAAGAAAGAGAAAGGGAUAAAAGAGGUUACCAGAUAGAUAGAUAGAUAGACAGACAGAUAGAUAGAUAGAUG